This 470-nucleotide long non-coding RNA is filed under the name Vigna radiata. RNAcentral describes it as "long non-coding RNA (VRAD_LNC007527)". The record is from RNAcentral. Lineage: Eukaryota; Viridiplantae; Streptophyta; Magnoliopsida; Fabales; Fabaceae.
UGUGAUUAUAUAUAUAGCGUGAAGCUUGAAAAACAAAAUCUCCUGCAACUCUGAAUUUGAACGUGCAUGCAACAAGCGGUUGCUGAGGAGGUAACAUCCAGCAACACCAUUAUGCAAUUUAACUCUCACCCCACCACCCAUUGACUAAUUGACUAAUAUUAUACAUACAGGGAAAAAUUGCCCAUCACAUUCAGUCUCGUGAUAGUUGUGAAAUACAGUUUGAAACACAAGGAAAAAAAAAAUCUUUGGUGAGAAGCACAUGGGUACAAUCCACAUGACAAUGACAUUCUUGGUGUCACUACACUGGCAUUAAUUAACCAGCGUCUCUUCUCUAUUUUUUGGCAGGCAAAUCUGAACCAGUGAACUGCUGUACAAUUCUGCAGGAACAAUCAAGUAACAUGAUUAUAUUACAAGGUUGUCACACCGGUGUUGCAUUCUUUAUGAACAAAGUAAAGAGACAGUUCAAUUCA